UAAUUUAUUUGUGGAAAAUUCUCAUUUAGGUAUGAAAGAUUAUUAUCUAAUUGCUUAAAAUUCUCAGUUUCUACUAGUUUGAUUGGAUUAAUACGAGAAAGAAAAAAAAAUACUCAAAUUUAGAUAUGUUUUAAUUAAUUA
Non-coding RNA from Populus trichocarpa (black cottonwood), 141 nucleotides. The record is from Rfam. Lineage: Eukaryota; Viridiplantae; Streptophyta; Magnoliopsida; Malpighiales; Salicaceae.